ACAUCCUUAUCACAGGUACUGGUUCCUUUCAGGAUCAUUGUGAUGUUCGAUGCCCGGGUAAAGUUUGCUCCCGUUACUAUCACGUUGCUUUUCCCUAAUGUCGAUACUUUCUGUGGCUCAAUGGACUUAAUGUAGAAGACCUAUUGGAAAGAAAAGAUUAAAACAGGAGAUCAAAGCUAAGAAAUGGCAUCGCUCCAAAAAAAUCUGUUUAUACGCUGCAGUUCGAAGAAAUCACUGGGAAAUUACAACAUUUUGCGAACACAAGCAGACAGUGUUUAAUGAAAUCAAUGAAUUCAAGGAAGAGGGCUGCAGAUUCAUGUCUCUCAACAUGUGACAGCAUGAGGUCAAACCAAUUAGUCUUUGUCUCACAAGACAGUUGAAAAUACAGUUGAAAAGUCUGAUAUUCUGUCUGAAGAGUGAGGUAUCACUAGAGUUUUGAAAAUGUUUACUGCCUUACAGCCUCUGGAGGCUCACAAUGUAAGCAAAAUCAAGGAAAAGAAAGAGAGUCCAUUGACCGUAGGCCAAUGACAGACUCAUCGUUAAGUUGAAAUAAAUGUCAUUCCAGAUAAAUUCAGUUCCCAAGAAAGCAGUCAUAUUUUUGUUACAGUGAGGCUAUUUGAAUCCAGGAGGAUACUGCAGGGGGAAAAACCUCAAGAAAUCAACCUGUUCAGUCACCUACUAUCAAGUAGUUGGAUGUCUAAACCACUGUGGCCAACCAAGACCAUUUUCAGCAAGUCUGUAUUCUUCUAUAAUACGGUGACCAAAACAGGACAUAAGAUUCUAAGAUUCUACCCAAUAUAAAGUCCAGCAGAACUUCAGCAAGAGUGAACAUCAUACUCACACUCUUUUUUCCCCUAUAUCCUCUACCAUCGCAGAAUAUACUCAGUCUUGAUAUUUGAAAAUGACCCCAAAGUCCAGAGAUGCUUAAUCACAUGACGUUUGGUGAAAUUCUAAAUGCUGAGUGCAUCCACUUGGAGGACCGAGUCCAGGAAGAAGCCCCUGAGCCACUGGGAGAACUCCGUGAUGUCCAACACCUGCCUAACACCUGCUUCUUGAAGCAAUUGAGUAUCCUCUGCUCCUUUGUACAUGGAACACUCAUUGGGGUGGCAUUGCUGGGCUACAGGGGCUGCCCAUCCUGCUCAAACAGACAUUUUCUCAUUCUGCUCCCCAGCACACACAGGUGCUACACGGCACAGUCGUCCCCAUCACUCAUCAGCGCUUUGGACUGGUUUUGCAGAUUGAGGUAAAUUCAUUGUUAAUGUCAUCACAGCAAUGAUGUAACAUGACACAGAAUUGAUUUUGGUAGCAGAAUUUAUUUUAAUCACUUUGUGAAGGACGUUAGCCCUGUAUUAAUAGAAUCACUAAGGGCCUGAAAGGGUCACUUUAAUUAUUCUGUUAUACUUGACUGCAUUUUAUGGGGGAAAUUAUCUGCUAGAGUGGUACUUGGAAUGGGGGGAUUAGCAAAGCCUUCAAGAUAAAUCUCUUGCAAAUGUCAAGUGUGUGUUAUAUAGCAAAAGGCUUACUCUUCGCUCUUACGUGGUGACAGCUAAGAGAACAAGUGUUUAUUGAGCACCUACAGGGUCCUUAGGCCAGAUAUUGUGGGGGACACAUGAUCUAUGUGUGCACUAGAUCAGGAGUUGGCAAACUAUAGUCUGUGGGCCAGAUCCUGCCCGCUACCUGCUUUUGUAUGGGCCAUGACAAAAUGUCAAAAGAAGAAUAAUAUUUCAUGACAUAUAAAAACACAUGAAAUUCAAAUUUCAGCACCCAUAAAUAUUCGUCUGGGUAGUGUCUCUGGCUGCUGUUGCACUGCAGCAGUCGAGUGGAGUAGCUGCAGCAGAGACCAUACGGCCCGCAAAGCCUAAAAUAUUUACUGUCUUGGCUCUUUGUAGAAAACAUUUGCCGACCUCUGCUCUAGAGGAGUCCACUGUCUUCUUAGGGGAGCAAGAUAGAAUUUUUUUUCUUUUUUUAUGUAAACCUCAUUGCAGACUCACGUUUACAUCCAAGUCAACUAUGAUUCCCAGGUUUCUUUUCUUUCUAGAUAGUCCUUCCUGCUUCUUAUAUUUAUACUGUUGAUGUCUGCUCAAGCAAAAUUUUCAAACAUGCCAAGUAAAUGCUUCUUCUCCAUUCUCUGCAGAGGAUAAAGAGAGCCUUACAACUAAUGUAAAAAAGAUUUUUUAAGGAAGUUAUAUUUUGCUCCUUAAAUGGCUCUACGAACACCAUCAGAGGACUUGCCACAUCAUCUUAUUAACUUUUUAUUUCCCUGAGUGGAGACCGCCUUGCUACUUCAAAAACAUUUUAAACCCCUAUUGUUUAGAGAGGGUUCUCUUGGCCAUCUAGGAUGGAAUCCAGCCCUGGCCUGUCUUGUGAAAGUGGGUGCUUCAGUCUGCUUUUAAACAGACUCAGAUUAGUUGUCUUUUGUUUGCUGGUGGAACCUCUUCUAAUCUUAAUAAAUGGGUUAAAGAGCUACCAAGAGGACCCUCCUAAAUAAAUAGUGCAGGUAUAAAACAACAUUUUUAAAACAAAAUGUAGAGUCAGCUCCAUGGCUGCCCUGUAUGGUUGCAACAAUUCUUAGAAAUACAUUCUUUCUUUUUACCAAUAAAGAUUUUGAAAAAUCCAGUACAGACAAAAGAGCAAAGAAUCAUUUCCCCAUAAAGGUUCUACACAUUCAAUAUUUUAGAUCAAUUUUUGUAUUUUCAUCAAGAGUUAAUUCAUAAAACCUGGCAUAUAGUAGCCAGCCCUAUAAGCUUAUGCAUUUUAGAGGGAGUUAAUUGUAAAACAUAAUUGAGCUCAAUACAAAGAGACAAAUUCUUAGAGCCCUAUCGUGGGAUUCCUCCCUCACUCUAUGUCCAAGGAUUUCUAUGUAUUCAAAUCAAAAUACCGUUGACUAUAACCGUCACAGCCCUAUGUUGUCCAGCAAUUAACCUCAGAAUAGUGUGCUUCCUGUAGGUUACGUUUUAAAGACUUCAGGGUUAUUUUUAAAUGGCUGCACAAUUUGAACUUAUUUAAUAAACUACUAUGAGCUCUGGCUUUCA
This is a long non-coding RNA of Homo sapiens (human), 3032 nucleotides long. RefSeq lists it as uncharacterized. The record is from RefSeq and is a predicted model, not a curated record. Lineage: Eukaryota; Metazoa; Chordata; Mammalia; Primates; Hominidae. The transcript has 2 exons.